CAAGUCGAGGGGUAACAGGGGUAGUUUACUAUUUGCUGACGACCGGCGCACGGGUGAGUAACGCGUAUACAAUUUGCUUUAUACUGGAGGAUAGCCCAGAGAAAUUUGGAUUAAUACUCCAUAGUAUUAUUAUAUGGCCUCAUAUGAUAAUUAAAGAUUUAUUGGUAUAAGAUGAGUAUGCGUUCUAUUAGCUAGAUGGUAGAGUAAUGGUUUACCAUGGCAACGAUAGAUAGGGGCCCUGAGAGGGGGAUCCCCCACACUGGUACUGAGACACGGACCAGACUCCUACGGGAGGCAGCAGUGAGGAAUAUUGGACAAUGGAGGCAACUCUGAUCCAGCCAUGCCGCGUGCAGGAAGACUGCCCUAUGGGUUGUAAACUGCUUUUAUAUAGGAAGAAACCUUUCCACGUGUGGGAAGCUGACGGUACUAUAAGAAUAAGCACCGGCUAACUCCGUGCCAGCAGCCGCGGUAAUACGGAGGGUGCAAGCGUUAUCCGGAAUCAUUGGGUUUAAAGGGUCCGUAGGCGGGCUAAUAAGUCAGAGGUGAAAUCCCACAGCUUAACUGUGGAACUGCCUUUGAUACUGUUAGUCUUGAGUUUUAGUGAAGUAGAUAGAAUAUGUAGUGUAGCGGUGAAAUGCUUAGAUAUUACAUAGAAUACCGAUUGCGAAGGCAGU
RNAcentral lists this ribosomal RNA (674 nucleotides) under uncultured Bacteroidota bacterium. RNAcentral describes it as "bacterial SSU rRNA". It matches the Rfam family "Bacterial small subunit ribosomal RNA", at positions 58 to 725 of the family's 1533-position model. The record is from RNAcentral. Lineage: Bacteria; Pseudomonadati; Bacteroidota.